GACGAACGCUGGCGGCGUGCCUAAUACAUGCAAGUUGAGCGCUGAAGGUUGGUACUUGUACCAACUGGAUGAGCAGCGAACGGGAGAGUAACGCGUGGAGAAUCUGCCUUUGAGCGGGGGACAACAUUUGGAAACGAAUGCUAAUACCGCAUAAAAACUUAAAACACAAGUUUUAAGUUUGAAAGAUGCAAUUGCAUCACUCAAAGAUGAUCCCGCGUUGUAUUAGCUAGUUGGUGAGGUAAAGGCUCACCAAGGCGAUGAUACAUAGCCGACCUGAGAGGGUGGUCGGCCACAAUGGGAAUUGGACACGGCCCAAACUCCUACGGGAGGGAGCAGUAGGGAAUCUUCGGACAUGGACGAAAGUCUGACCGAGCAACGGCGCGGGAGUGAAGAAGGGUUUCGGAUCGUAAAACUCUGUUGGUAGAGAAGAACGUUGGGGAGGGUGGAAAGCUCAUCAAGUGACGGUAACUACCCAGAAAGGGACGGCUAACUACGUG
Molecule: ribosomal RNA, 497 nt
Filed under: uncultured bacterium
Lineage: Bacteria
Description: partial 16S ribosomal RNA
Rfam family: Bacterial small subunit ribosomal RNA
Source: RNAcentral